UACGUAGGGCGCAAGCGUUGUCCGGAAUCAUUGGGCGUAAAGAGCUCGUAGGCGGCCUGUUGCGUCCGCUGUGAAAUCCCGGGGCUUAACCCCGGGCGUGCAGUGGAUACGGGCUGGCUGGAGGCAGGCAGGGGAGAACGGAAUUCCCGGUGUAGCGGUGAAAUGCGCAGAUAUCGGGAGGAACACCGGUGGCGAAGGCGGUUCUCUGGGCCUGUACUGACGCUGAGGAGCGAAAGCGUGGGGAGCGAACAGGG
RNAcentral lists this ribosomal RNA (254 nucleotides) under uncultured bacterium. RNAcentral's name for it is "partial 16S ribosomal RNA". It matches the Rfam family "Bacterial small subunit ribosomal RNA", at positions 524 to 777 of the family's 1533-position model. The record is from RNAcentral.